Bos taurus (domestic cattle) is the source of this 911-nucleotide long non-coding RNA. Lineage: Eukaryota; Metazoa; Chordata; Mammalia; Artiodactyla; Bovidae. The record is from Ensembl.
ACGAGGGAGCUCUCUCCCUGCCCAGAAUCAGGGCGGUUGAAUGUGAAAGGGUCCUACAAAUGUGGUCAUGCCGUGUUUUAAACUGUCUGUAACCAAUUGCUAUGACUUUUGCACAAACCCAUCCCGGAGGUCCGAGUGCCAAAGCUGCCCUUCAUGACUCGCGUCCACAGCCUGAAAAGCCCCUAGUGGAUCCUACCUCUGUGGCUGCUGCGACAGAGCUGCUGCCUUACCUGAGGCUUCCACGAACAACAGAGUGCAGGAAACAAGGCUCAAGAAAUGUUGCAUGGCUUGGUCUUUCACGUGACUCAGAAGAGGCAAAAGUGAAAUCUGAAAUCCUGCUGACUCUAAAGCCUGUGCCCUCAACCAUUAGGUUUUGUAGCGUUUCCACUCCUUCUGUUUUGCUUCCCUGUCUGGGCUCCUUCCUAGUUCAAGAUGGACAGUCAUCCAUAAGUUCCAUGUCACAUCUGUCAUCCUGCGUUCAAAGACAGAAAUGACUUCCUUCCACCUUUGCCCUCAGAACUCCUAGUGCUGGUCCGUAAAGUGACAUGUGGCAGCUGUGCUCAAAGGUCGGGGUCAGAAGCAGGGCGCCCCAUGGCUGGCUGUGGGCAGGGCCUGACUGCCUCAACAAAGGGGCCCGUCUUUUCCUCCAAUCCAUCAGAUCCAUCCCAGAGGGUUGGGCUGGGCUGGCCUCUCAGAUGACUCUGGGUGUAGAGACACACUGACCGUGCAGCUUUCCCUCCCGUCGGGGCUCCCUCGCUCUGGCCCAGGCACUUAGAGACACCAUGCCCCUCCUCUUUGUGUUCCUGCAUCCGCCUGGCGGCCUCCUCCUCCUUUCUUUGUGGCCCUCUCUCCCUCUGGCUCCCUUUGCUGGCUUUAUUCCUCCCAGGCUUCCUGUCACACUAAGCUCUUUG